CCUACGGGAGGCAGCAGUGAGGAAUAUUGGUCAAUGGACGAAAGUCUGAACCAGCCAAGUAGCGUGAAGGAUGACUGCCCUAUGGGUUGUAAACUUCUUUUAUAUGGGAGUAAAAUGUUCCACGUGUGGGAUGUUGUAUGUACCAUAUGAAUAAGGAUCGGCUAACUCCGUGCCAGCAGCCGCGGUAAUACGGAGGAUCCGAGCGUUAUCCGGAUUUAUUGGGUUUAAAGGGAGCGUAGGUGGGUUGUUAAGUCAGUUGUGAAAGUUUGGGGCUCAACCGGAAAAUUGCAUUUGAUACUGGCAGUCUAGAGUACAGUAGAGGUAGGCGGAAUGCGUGGUGUAGCGGUGAAAUGCUUAGAUAUCACGAAGAACUCCGAUUGCGAAGGCAGCUUACUAAACUGCGACUGACAUUGAGGCUCGAAAGUGUGGGUAGCAAACAGGAUUAGAUACCCGGGUAGUC
This 460-nucleotide ribosomal RNA is filed under the name uncultured bacterium. RNAcentral describes it as "partial 16S ribosomal RNA". It matches the Rfam family "Bacterial small subunit ribosomal RNA", at positions 338 to 795 of the family's 1533-position model. The record is from RNAcentral.